This 889-nucleotide ribosomal RNA is filed under the name Bacteroidetes bacterium MOLA 450. Its description in RNAcentral is "bacterial SSU rRNA". It matches the Rfam family "Bacterial small subunit ribosomal RNA", at positions 1 to 893 of the family's 1533-position model. The record is from RNAcentral. Lineage: Bacteria; Pseudomonadati; Bacteroidota.
UUAGAGUUUGAUCAUGGCUCAGGAUGAACGCUAGCGGCAGGCCUAACACAUGCCAGUCGAGGGGGUAACAGGGAGAGCUUGCUCUUGCUGACGACCGGCGCACGGGUGCGUAACGCGUAUACAAUCUACCUUAUACUGGAGAAUAGCCCAGAGAAAUUUGGAUUAAUGCUCCAUAGUAUGUCGAGUCCGCAUGGGCAUGACAUUAAAGGUUACGGUAUAAGAUGAGUAUGCGUUCUAUUAGCUAGAUGGUGUGGUAACGGCACACCAUGGCAACGAUAGAUAGGGGCCCUGAGAGGGGGAUCCCCCACACUGGUACUGAGACACGGACCAGACUCCUACGGGAGGCAGCAGUGAGGAAUAUUGGACAAUGGAGGCAACUCUGAUCCAGCCAUGCCGCGUGCAGGAAGACUGCCCUAUGGGUUGUAAACUGCUUUUAUACAGGAAGAAACCGCUCUACGUGUAGAGCUCUGACGGUACUGUAAGAAUAAGGAUCGGCUAACUCCGUGCCAGCAGCCGCGGUAAUACGGAGGAUCCAAGCGUUAUCCGGAAUCAUUGGGUUUAAAGGGUCCGUAGGUUGAUAAUUAAGUCAGAGGUGAAAGUUUGCAGCUCAACUGUAAAAUUGCCUUUGAUACUGGUUAUCUUGAGUUAUUAUGAAGUAGUUAGAAUAUGUAGUGUAGCGGUGAAAUGCAUAGAUAUUACAUAGAAUACCAAUUGCGAAGGCAGAUUACUAAUAAUCAACUGACACUGAUGGACGAAAGCGUGGGGAGCGAACAGGAUUAGAUACCCUGGUAGUCCACGCCGUAAACGAUGGAUACUAGCUGUUCGGAUUUCGGUCUGAGUGGCUAAGCGAAAGUGAUAAGUAUCCCACCUGGGGAGUACGUUCGCAAGA